ACGCUCGACACCUACGGGAAGCAGCAGUGGGGAAUAUUGCACAAUGGGGGAAACCCUGAUGCAGCGACGCCGCGUGAGCGAAGAAGUAUUUCGGUAUGUAAAGCUCUAUCAGCAGGGAAGAAGAAAGACGGUACCUGACUAAGAAGCCCCGGCUAACUACGUGCCACAGCCGCGGUAAUCUGAGCGGGCUGGCAAGGC
RNAcentral lists this ribosomal RNA (198 nucleotides) under uncultured bacterium. RNAcentral describes it as "partial 16S ribosomal RNA". It matches the Rfam family "Bacterial small subunit ribosomal RNA", at positions 326 to 539 of the family's 1533-position model. The record is from RNAcentral.